Molecule: long non-coding RNA, 230 nt
Organism: Anoplopoma fimbria (sablefish)
Lineage: Eukaryota; Metazoa; Chordata; Actinopteri; Perciformes; Anoplopomatidae
Exons: 4
Source: RefSeq, a predicted model, not a curated record
CUUUCACUGAUGGAGCAGCAGAAGUUCCAGCUGGACAGUUGGUGAAACAGAGCUGUUUGACUUCAGCAGACAGAAACACAGACACAAGUUUCUAAACCAGAAGUUUGUCUCCAGUCGGUCUCUGAGGUUUCCAGCAGAGUGACAUCAUGGAGGACUCAUCAUCAUCUAAGACCAAGCCAGAUGAGCAACCUGAGAGGACCAGCAGCAGCGACACAGGUCGCACUGGGAGG